AGAAUCAACGCUGGCGGCGUGCCUAACACAUGCAAGUCGCACGAGAAAGGGGGACUUCGGUCCUUGAGUAAAGUGGCGCACGGGUGAGUAACACGUGACUAAUCUACCCUCGAGUGGGGAAUAACUGAGAGAAAUCUUAGCUAAUACCGCAUAACACUUACGAGUCAAAGCAGCAAUGCGCUUGGGGGAGGAGGUCGCGGUCGAUUAGCUAGUUGGCGGGGUAAUGGCCCACCAAGGCGAUGAUCGGUA
RNAcentral lists this ribosomal RNA (249 nucleotides) under uncultured bacterium. Its description in RNAcentral is "partial small subunit ribosomal RNA". It matches the Rfam family "Bacterial small subunit ribosomal RNA", at positions 26 to 285 of the family's 1533-position model. The record is from RNAcentral.